GACGAACGCUGGCGGCGUGCCUAAUACAUGCAAGUAGAACGCUGAAGAGAGGAGCUUGCUCUUCUUGGAUGAGUUGCGAACGGGUGAGUAACGCGUAGGUAACCUGCCUUGUAGCGGGGGAUAACUAUUGGAAACGAUAGCUAAUACCGCAUAACAAUGGAUGACACAUGUCAUUUAUUUGAAAGGGGCAAUUGCUCCACUACAAGAUGGACCUGCGUUGUAUUAGCUAGUAGGUGAGGUAAUGGCUCACCUAGGCGACGAUACAUAGCCGACCUGAGAGGGUGAUCGGCCACACUGGGACUGAGACACGGCCCAGACUCCUACGGGAGGCAGCAGGAGGGAAUCUUCGGCAAUGGGGGCAACCCUGACCGAGCAACGCCGCGUGAGGGAAGAAGGUUUUCGGAUCGUAAAGCUCUGUUGUAAGUCAAGAACGGGUGUGAGAGUGGAAAGUUCACACUGUGACGGUAGCUUACCAGAAAGGGACGGCUAACUACGUG
Molecule: ribosomal RNA, 497 nt
Filed under: uncultured bacterium
Lineage: Bacteria
Description: partial 16S ribosomal RNA
Rfam family: Bacterial small subunit ribosomal RNA
Source: RNAcentral